AACGAACGCUGGCGGCAGGCUUAACACAUGCAAGUCGAGCGCCUCGCAAGAGGAGCGGCAGACGGGUGAGUAACGCGUGGGAAUCUACCGUGCCCUACGGAAUAGCUCCGGGAAACUGGAAUUAAUACCGUAUACGCCCUUCGGGGAAAGAUUUAUCGGGGUAUGAUGAGCCCGCGUUGGAUUAGCUAGUUGGUGGGGUAAAGGCCUACCAAGGCGACG
This 219-nucleotide ribosomal RNA is filed under the name uncultured Agrobacterium sp. Its description in RNAcentral is "partial 16S ribosomal RNA". It matches the Rfam family "Bacterial small subunit ribosomal RNA", at positions 29 to 278 of the family's 1533-position model. Lineage: Bacteria; Pseudomonadati; Pseudomonadota; Alphaproteobacteria; Hyphomicrobiales; Rhizobiaceae. The record is from RNAcentral.